RNAcentral lists this ribosomal RNA (397 nucleotides) under uncultured bacterium. Its description in RNAcentral is "partial 16S ribosomal RNA". It matches the Rfam family "Bacterial small subunit ribosomal RNA", at positions 523 to 918 of the family's 1533-position model. The record is from RNAcentral.
AUACGUAGGGGGCGAGCGUUGUCCGGAAUGAUUGGGCGUAAAGGGCGCGUAGGCGGCCUGUUAAGUCCGGAGUGAAAGUCCUGUUUUCAAGAUGGGAAUUGCUUUGGAUACUGAUGGGCUUGAGUGCAGGAGAGGUUAUCGGAAUUCCCGGUGUAGCGGUGAAAUGCGUAGAGAUCGGGAGGAACACCAGUGGCGAAGGCGGGUAACUGGACUGCAACUGACGCUGAGGCGCGAAAGUGUGGGGAGCAAACAGGAUUAGAUACCCUGGUAGUCCACACUGUAAACGAUGAAUGCUAGGUGUAGGGGGUAUCGACCCCUUCUGUGCCGCAGUCAACACAAUAAGCAUUCCGCCUGGGGAGUACGGCCGCAAGGUUGAAACUCAAAGGAAUUGACGGGG